RNAcentral lists this ribosomal RNA (501 nucleotides) under uncultured bacterium. Its description in RNAcentral is "partial 16S ribosomal RNA". It matches the Rfam family "Bacterial small subunit ribosomal RNA", at positions 30 to 523 of the family's 1533-position model. The record is from RNAcentral.
AUUGAACGCUGGCGGCAUGCCUUACACAUGCAAGUCGAACGGCAGCACGGGUGCUUGCACCUGGUGGCGAGUGGCGAACGGGUGAGUAAUACAUCGGAACGUACCUUAUCGUGGGGGAUAACGCAGCGAAAGUUGCGCUAAUACCGCAUACGCCCUGAGGGGGAAAGCGGGGGACCGUAAGGCCUCGCGCGAUUAGAGAGGCCGAUGUCUGAUUAGCUUGUUGGUGAGGUAAAAGCUCACCAAGGCGAUGAUCAGUAGCUGGUCUGAGAGGACGAUCAGCCACACUGGGACUGAGACACGGCCCAGACUCCUACGGGAGGCAGCAGUGGGGAAUUUUGGACAAUGGGGGCAACCCUGAUCCAGCAAUGCCGCGUGAGUGAAGAAGGCCUUCGGGUUGUAAAGCUCUUUUGUCAGGGAAGAAACAGCAGCUCUAACACAGUCUGCGAAUGACGGUACCUGAAGAAUAAGCACCGGCUAACUACGUGCCAGCCGCCGCGGUAA